UUCAAGUUAAUUUCCGAUGACGUUUUGGAAAUGAUUUCGUGGUCGUGGACACGAGUACGAAGCUUAGAGGAGUGUGGAAUUAGUUCGAACGAUUUUAUUUUGAAAACUGAACGUUUUAGGGGGGUCAAAGGAGUUGACUUUUUAUACAUUGGGAAAUUGGGAAAACUUCCUUCAUGAAAGUUGUAGAGCGCGUCGAUACGAGUUCGUGGACAUAUGGAACGUAAUAUUCGGAGUUCGUAUGAAUAAGUUACGAAUAUUUGAAAAUUGGGAUUUUCUAUAAAUAUGAAAAAAAAUCCGAAUAUUGCAAAUGAGGACAGAAUUUCUGGAACUCCAGAAAUUUCUCCCCAUUUCUCUCCCGAGCCCAGCCGCGACCCCCUCCCUUCGUCACCUUCGUUCUUCCUCAUCCGGCCACCGAUUGAUGUGAAACAAAGUGGGUUUUUCUGGUCUCGACCCCCUUUACGAGUUUGUAGAAGAAAUCGAAGUGAAAUACGAGCUGUAUGAGGCUCUACAAGGUCGAGAAGAGAGCCUCGUCGGAGACGAAAUCGCUCUUCCCCACUUUUUCUGGGCUCUACUUUGUCUGGCCAUAUCUUCCUUUACAGGCCUCCGAUCGGCCUGAUUCCAAAAGCAAUUUUUCUCACCGUGAAGUUUUCUACAACUUUCCAGAAGACAUCGACUUGAGAUAACCAUCGUGGUGGCCGCUAGAAGACCGAGAAGCCGCACAGCCGAGCUGGAAAUCGUCUUCCUUCGCCACCUUGGUUCUCCCAGCUCCGGCCACUAUAGCUCGAGUUCUUUGAGGGUUUUUCUAGCCCAGAGGAAGUAGAAGCUAUCCCCAAGAAGGCUUGCAGCGAUUUGAUCCGGGGUGAUCGAAUUUUGAAGAUUGGGAAACUAGGGUUCUUCGGGUUUCAAAACUUGCGAGGUGAUUGACGGUCUCCCUUGGGUGAACGAUUUCGGUGUGUAUUGUGUUGAAUUGAAGACGCAGCGGGAAUAUCGAGCGGGUAAUCCUGCAGGUCAGGAGAAUCAGGACGGUGAUCGUGCGGGUUAGAGAAUUUGUUUUAGUUUUACAGCAAUUGUAAUUGUGAGGUGAGUUAUGCUCAUUUGAGCCUUACAAUAUAAUUUGGUGAGAGUGUGCUGUAAUAAACAAAUUUGAGAUUUGGUUUAUGUAAUAUCGAGCGAUGUGAGGUGUGGUUGUUUUGAGAAAAAAAAAUUCAGGUUGUAUUUAUGUGAGUUGUAUUAAUUCAUGUUUCGGAUUUUGAUUUGUAUUUAAAAUUCGGGGCGUGACAGUUUGGUAUCAGAGCGUAAGGUACAUAUUUGGUGAUAAUCAGUACUCCCCGAGUGAUGGCCCGUCUGCAGCGGAUCCCCAUCGUAUACUCUUCGGUACUGGUAUAAUCAUUGGGUAUGUCUUAGUAUGGGGUCUAGACAGCGUGUAUGUCAGUAGGACGGUAGAGUUGUCUUCUAAGUUCGUAUUAGAAUAAGUUUAGUUUCCGCAGGUUGUAAUCUUUGAGGAAUGGAAACCUCCGGAUUUAACUCUGAUGAGUCAGUGAGGAUUGUUUAUGGAAAUGAGUUUCCUUUUGUAUGUAGAAGUGUUUGGUUGAAGGCAUGGUGUGGACCUAUGCUCGUAUCUGAUGUGGAUACGAGUAUUAAUUGAUAGUAAUUUUGCCUUCUUAAGUUGGACAUACAGAUGCAUUUGAAUAGAU
This is a long non-coding RNA of Rosa rugosa (rugosa rose), 1694 nucleotides long. RefSeq lists it as uncharacterized. The record is from RefSeq and is a predicted model, not a curated record. NCBI's taxonomy places the organism in Eukaryota, Viridiplantae, Streptophyta, Magnoliopsida, Rosales, Rosaceae. The transcript has 3 exons.